This 497-nucleotide ribosomal RNA is filed under the name Osbornellus compressus. Its description in RNAcentral is "partial 16S ribosomal RNA". Lineage: Eukaryota; Metazoa; Arthropoda; Insecta; Hemiptera; Cicadellidae. The record is from RNAcentral.
UAAGAAUUUAAAGGUCGAACAGACCUAGAAUUAAAAACUCUUCUUUUUAAUCUAAUCUUAAUUCAACAUCGAGGUCGCAAACUUAAAUAUAGAUAUGAACUCCCCAUUUAAAUUACGCUGUUAUCCCUAAGGUAACUAAAUCUUUUAAACCUCAAAUAAGGAUCUUUAUUUACAUAAAUCAAUGAUUAAUAAAAUUAAAGUUAAAAUUUAACUACCACCCCAGCAAAAAGUAAAUUCAAUUAAAAAAUUCUAAUAAAAAAAUCUUUAAUUAAAAUUAAAUAAAGUUCUAUAGGGUCUUAUCGUCCCUAAAAUACAAUUAGGCAUUUUAACCUUAAAUUUAAUUUUUAAUAUUAAAAUUAAUAAAACUUAAAUCUCAUCUAUCCAUUCAUACCAGCUUCUAAUUAAGAAACUAAUUAUUAUGCUACCUUUGUACAGUCAAAAUACUGCAGCCAUUUAAAAAUAAAUUCAUAGGGCAGAAAAUACUUUUAAUAAAAUCA